This 496-nucleotide ribosomal RNA is filed under the name uncultured bacterium. RNAcentral's name for it is "partial 16S ribosomal RNA". It matches the Rfam family "Bacterial small subunit ribosomal RNA", at positions 29 to 507 of the family's 1533-position model. The record is from RNAcentral.
AUGCACGCUGGCGGCGUGCCUAAUACAUGCCAGUCGCGCGAACAGACGAGGAGCUUGCUCCCCUGACGUUAGCGGCGGACGGGUGAGUAACACGUGGAUAACCUACCUAUAAGACUGGGAUAACUUCGGGAAACCGGAGCUAAUACCGGAUAAUAUAUUGAACCGCAUGGUUCAAUAGUGAAAGACGGUUUUGCUGUCACUUAUAGAUGGAUCCGCGCCGCAUUAGCUAGUUGGUAAGGUAACGGCUUACCAAGGCAACGAUGCGUAGCCGACCUGAGAGGGUGAUCGGCCACACUGGAACUGAGACACGGUCCAGACUCCUACGGGAGGCAGCAGUAGGGAAUCUUCCGCAAAGGGCGAAAGCCUGACGGAGCAACGCCGCGUGAGUGGUGAAGGUCUUCGGAUCGUAAAACUCUGUUAUUAGGGAAGAACAAAUGUGUAAGUAACUAUGCACGUCUUGACGGUACCUAAUCAGAAAGCCACGGCUAACUACGUG